CCUACGGGAGGCUGCAGUGGGGAAUAUUGGACAAUGGGGGGAACCCUGAUCCAGCCAUGCCGCGUGUGUGAAGAAGGCCCUCGGGUUGUAAAGCACUUUCAGUGAGGAAGAACGCCUGGUGGUUAAUACCCAUCAGGAAAGACAUCACUCACAGAAGAAGCACCGGCUAACUCCGUGCCAGCAGCCGCGGUAAUACGGAGGGUGCGAGCGUUAAUCGGAAUUACUGGGCGUAAAGCGCGCGUAGGUGGCUUGAUAAGCCGGUUGUGAAAGCCCCGGGCUCAACCUGGGAACGGCAUCCGGAACUGUCAAGCUAGAGUGCAGGAGAGGAAGGUAGAAUUCCCGGUGUAGCGGUGAAAUGCGUAGAGAUCGGGAGGAAUACCAGUGGUGAAGGCGGCCUUCUGGACUGACACUGACACUGAGGUGCGAAAGCGUGGGUAGCAAACAGGAUUAGAUACCCCAGUAGUC
Molecule: ribosomal RNA, 465 nt
Filed under: Vreelandella stevensii
Lineage: Bacteria; Pseudomonadati; Pseudomonadota; Gammaproteobacteria; Oceanospirillales; Halomonadaceae
Description: partial 16S ribosomal RNA
Rfam family: Bacterial small subunit ribosomal RNA
Source: RNAcentral